Molecule: ribosomal RNA, 1129 nt
Filed under: uncultured bacterium
Lineage: Bacteria
Description: bacterial SSU rRNA
Rfam family: Bacterial small subunit ribosomal RNA
Source: RNAcentral
AGUUGGCAGGGUAACGGCCUACCAAGGCGCCGAUCCAUAGCCGGCCUGAGAGGGUGGACGGCCACAUUGGGACUGAGACACGGCCCAGACUCGUACGGGAGGCAGCAGUGGGGAAUAUUGCACAAUGGGGGAAACCCUGAUGCAGCGACGCCGCGUGAGCGAAGAAGUAUUUCGGUAUGUAAAGCUCUAUCAGCAGGGAAGAAAAUGACGGUACCUGACUAAGAAGCCCCGGCUAACUACGUGCCAGCAGCCGCGGUAAUACGUAGGGGGCAAGCGUUAUCCGGAUUUACUGGGUGUAAAGGGAGCGUAGACGGAAUGGCAAGUCUGAUGUGAAAGGCCGGGGCUCAACCCCGGGACUGCAUUGGAAACUGUCAAUCUAGAGUACCGGAGGGGUAAGUGGAAUUCCUAGUGUAGCGGUGAAAUGCGUAGAUAUUAGGAGGAACACCAGUGGCGAAGGCGGCUUACUGGACGGUAACUGACGUUGAGGCUCGAAAGCGUGGGGAGCAAACAGGAUUAGAUACCCUGGUAGUCCACGCCGUAAACGAUGGAAUAAUUAAGUGGUGGGGAGCAAAGCUCUUUCGUUGCCGCAGCAAACGCCAAUAAGUAUUCCACCUGGGGAGUACGUUCGCAAGAAAGAAACUCAAAGGAAUUGACGGGGACCCGCACAAGCGGUGGAGCAUGUGGUUUAAUUUGAAGCAACGCGAAGAACCUUACCAAAUCUUGACAUCGAUCUGACCGGACCGUAAUGGGUCCUUUCCCUUCGGGGACAGAGAAGACAGGUGGUGCAUGGUUGUCGUCAGCUCGUGUCGUGAGAUGUUGGGUUAAGUCCCGCAACGAGCGCAACCCUUAUCCUCAGUAGCCAGCAAGUGAAGUUGGGCACUCUGUGGAGACUGCCAGGGAUAACCUGGAGGAAGGUGGGGAUGACGUCAAAUCAUCAUGCCCCUUAUGAUUUGGGCUACACACGUGCUACAAUGGCGUAAACAAAGGGAAGCGAUCACGCGAGUGUGAGCAAAUCUCAAAAAUAACGUCUCAGUUCGGAUUGUAGUCUGCAACUCGACUACAUGAAGCUGGAAUCGCUAGUAAUCGCAGGUCAGCAUACUGCGGUGAAUACGUUCCCGGGUCUUGCACA